This 447-nucleotide ribosomal RNA is filed under the name uncultured bacterium. Its description in RNAcentral is "bacterial SSU rRNA". It matches the Rfam family "Bacterial small subunit ribosomal RNA", at positions 355 to 825 of the family's 1533-position model. The record is from RNAcentral.
UGGGGAAUAUUGGACAAUGGGCGAAAGCCUGAUCCAGCCAUGCCGCGUGAGUGACGAAGGCCUUAGGGUUGUAAAGCUCUUUUGGCGGGGAAGAUAAUGACGGUACCCGCAGAAUAAGCUCCGGCUAACUUCGUGCCAGCAGCCGCGGUAAUACGUAGGGACCAAGCGUUGUUCGGAUUUACUGGGCGUAAAGGGCGCGUAGGCGGCAAUUCAAGUCAUCUGUGAAAUCUCCGGGCUUAACUCGGAACGGUCAGAUGAUACUGCUUUGCUAGAGUGCAGAAGGGGCAAUCGGAAUUCUUGGUGUAGCGGUGAAAUGCGUAGAUAUCAAGAGGAACACCUGAGGUGAAGACGGGUUGCUGGGCUGACACUGACGCUGAGGCGCGAAAGCCAGGGGAGCAAACGGGAUUAGAUACCCGCGUAGUCCCUGAGCGGGCUGGCAAGGCGCAU